AGUCGAGCGGUAACAGGAAUUAGCUUGCUAAUUUGCUGACGAGCGGCGGACGGGUGAGUAACGCGUAGGAAUCUGCCUGGUAGUGGGGGACAACAUGUGGAAACGCAUGCUAAUACCGCAUACGCCCUACGGGGGAAAGGAGGGGAUCUUCGGACCUUUCGCUAUCAGAUGAGCCUGCGUGAGAUUAGCUAGUUGGUGGGGUAAAGGCUCACCAAGGCGACGAUCUCUAGCUGGUCUGAGAGGAUGAUCAGCCACACUGGGACUGAGACACGGCCCAGACUCCUACGGGAGGCAGCAGUGGGGAAUAUUGGACAAUGGGCGCAAGCCUGAUCCAGCCAUGCCGCGUGUGUGAAGAAGGCCUUCGGGUUGUAAAGCACUUUCAGAGGUGAGGAAGGGUGUGCCGUUAAUACCGGUAUGCUUUGACGUUAGCCUCAGAAGAAGCACCGGCUAACUCUGUGCCAGCAGCCGCGGUAAUACAGAGGGUGCGAGCGUUAAUCGGAAUUACUGGGCGUAAAGCGCGCGUAGGUGGUUUGUUAAGUCGGAUGUGAAAGCCCAGGGCUCAACCUUGGAAUUGCACCCGAUACUGGCAAGCUAGAGUACGGUAGAGGGGUGUGGAAUUUCCUGUGUAGCGGUGAAAUGCGUAGAUAUAGGAAGGAACAUCAGUGGCGAAGGCGACACCCUGGACCGAUACUGACACUGA
This 700-nucleotide ribosomal RNA is filed under the name uncultured Marinomonas sp. RNAcentral's name for it is "bacterial SSU rRNA". It matches the Rfam family "Bacterial small subunit ribosomal RNA", at positions 60 to 749 of the family's 1533-position model. The record is from RNAcentral. Lineage: Bacteria; Pseudomonadati; Pseudomonadota; Gammaproteobacteria; Oceanospirillales; Oceanospirillaceae.